CGCUGUUGGCGAUAGACAGUCAGCGGCCAAGGGAAACCGAUAAGUGAGCCACCUGGGGAGUACGGCCGCAAGGUUGAAACUCAAAGGAAUUGACGGGGGCCCGCACAAGCGGUGGAACAUGUGGUUUAAUUCGAUGAUACGCGAGGAACCUUACCUGGGCUUAAAUGUGAAGUGCAUUGAUUGGAAACAAUCAUUUCCUUCGGGACCCUUUACAAGGUGCUGCAUGGUUGUCGUCAGCUCGUGCCGUGAGGUGUCGGGUUAAGUCCCAUAACGAGCGCAACCCCUAUUGUUAGUUACCAGCGCGUAAUGGCGGGGACUCUAGCGAAACUGCCGGUGUAAACCGCGAGGAAGGUGGGGAUGACGUCAAAUCAGCACGGCCCUUAUGUCCAGGGCUACACACGUGUUACAAUGGUGCAUACAGAGGGUAGCGAAGCUGCGAAGCGGAGCCAAUCUCAGAAAGUGCAUCCCAGUUCGGAUUGGAGUCUGCAACUCGACUCCAUGAAGGUGGAUCGCUAGAAUCGCGCAUCAGCC
This 531-nucleotide ribosomal RNA is filed under the name uncultured organism. RNAcentral's name for it is "bacterial SSU rRNA". It matches the Rfam family "Bacterial small subunit ribosomal RNA", at positions 818 to 1354 of the family's 1533-position model. The record is from RNAcentral.